Molecule: ribosomal RNA, 429 nt
Filed under: Gemmatimonadota bacterium
Lineage: Bacteria; Pseudomonadati; Gemmatimonadota
Description: Gemmatimonadetes bacterium partial 16S ribosomal RNA
Rfam family: Bacterial small subunit ribosomal RNA
Source: RNAcentral
UAGGGAAUCUUCGGCAAUGGACGAAAGUCUGACCGAGCAACGCCGCGUGAGUGAAGAAGGUUUUCGGAUCGUAAAACUCUGUUGUUAGAGAAGAACAAGGACGUUAGUAACUGAACGUCCCCUGACGGUAUCUAACCAGAAAGCCACGGCUAACUACGUGCCAGCAGCCGCGGUAAUACGUAGGUGGCAAGCGUUGUCCGGAUUUAUUGGGCGUAAAGCGAGCGCAGGCGGUUUCUUAAGUCUGAUGUGAAAGCCCCCGGCUCAACCGGGGAGGGUCAUUGGAAACUGGGAGACUUGAGUGCAGAAUAGGAGAGUGGAAUUCCAUGUGUAGCGGUAAAAUGCGUAGAUAUAUGGAGGAACACCAGUGGCGAAGGCGGCUCUCUGGUCUGUAACUGACGCUGAGGCUCGAAAGCGUGGGGAGCAAACAGG